RNAcentral lists this ribosomal RNA (627 nucleotides) under uncultured bacterium. RNAcentral's name for it is "bacterial SSU rRNA". It matches the Rfam family "Bacterial small subunit ribosomal RNA", at positions 53 to 670 of the family's 1533-position model. The record is from RNAcentral.
ACAUGCAAGUCGAGGGGAAACGAUGGGAGGGCUUGCCCUCCCAGGCGUCGACCGGCGCACGGGUGAGUAACACGUAUCCAACCUGCCCUCUUCCGGGGAACAACCUUGCGAAAGUAAGACUAAUGCCCCAUGUGUCCUCAGACGGCAUCAGACGAGGACGAAAGAUUUAUCGGAAGUGGAUGGGGAUGCGCCUGAUUAGGCAGUUGGCGGGGCAACGGCCCACCAAGCCGACGAUCAGUAGGGGUUCUGAGAGGAAGGUCCCCCACAUUGGAACUGAGACACGGUCCAAACUCCUACGGGAGGCAGCAGUGAGGAAUAUUGGUCAAUGGGCGAGAGCCUGAACCAGCCAAGUAGCGUGCAGGAUGACGGCCCUAUGGGUUGUAAACUGCUUUUGCGCGGGGAUAAAGUGCGCCACGUGUGGCGCAUUGCAGGUACCGCGCGAAUAAGGACCGGCUAAUUCCGUGCCAGCAGCCGCGGUAAUACGGAAGGUCCGGGCGUUAUCCGGAUUCAUUGGGUUUAAAGGGAGCGCAGGCCGCCCCUUAAGCGUGUUGUGAAAUGCCGCGGCUCAACCGUGGCACUGCAGCGCGAACUGGGGGGCUUGAGUGCGCGCAGCGCAGGCGGAACUCG